AACGAACGUUGGCGGCGUGCCUAACACAUGCAAGUCGAGCGCGGGCAGGACUUCGGUCCUGUUCCGAGCGGCGCACGGGUGAGUAACACGUGAGUAACCUGCCUCGAAGUUUGGGAUAACCGCCCGAAAGGGUGGCUAAUACCGGAUAAGCCCCCACUGGCACAGGCCAGAGAGGGAAAAGCCUUGGCGCUUCGAGAUGGGCUCGCGUCCCAUUAGCUAGUUGGUGAGGUAACGGCUCACCAAGGCGAAGAUGGGUAGCUGGUCUGAGAGGAUGAUCAGCCACACUGGAACUGAGACACGGUCCAGACUCCUACGGGAGGCAGCAGUAGGGAAUCUUCCGCAAUGGACGAAAGUCUGACGGAGCAACGCCGCGUGAGUGAUGAAGGUUUUCGGAUCGUAAAACUCUGUUGUUAGGGAAGAACAAAGUGCCGUUCGAAAGGGCGGCACCUUGACGGUACUAACGAGAAAGCCACGGCUAACUACGUGCCAGCAGCCGCGGUAAAGUCUAG
RNAcentral lists this ribosomal RNA (509 nucleotides) under uncultured bacterium. RNAcentral's name for it is "bacterial SSU rRNA". It matches the Rfam family "Bacterial small subunit ribosomal RNA", at positions 29 to 530 of the family's 1533-position model. The record is from RNAcentral.